This 782-nucleotide non-coding RNA is filed under the name Hutchinsoniella macracantha. The record is from RNAcentral. Lineage: Eukaryota; Metazoa; Arthropoda; Cephalocarida; Brachypoda; Hutchinsoniellidae.
UAAGUUUGAUUCUAGCUUUCAUAAUUGACUAUCUAAUAAAAAUAUAUACACUUCUGAGACCUUUUCCAUUCUAAAAGAAUUUUGAAUAAAUUUGUAGUAUAUAAUAUUAAAAUAACCAUAUAAUAGUGAACUUAGUUAUUUACAUAAAAUUGGUUAAACAUGUGCCAGCUACCGCGGUUAGACAUAAAAUUUAAAUCAAUUAAAUCAGUAUACAUAGUUUCAUUAUUUAAGCAUUUAAAAGAAAAAUUAAUUAUAGAUUAAAUUAAUACUUUAUAUAACUUUAAAUAAUAAAAUAAUUUCAACUAAUAAAUUAUAAAAAUAAACUAGGAUUAGAUACCCUAUUAUUUUAUAACAUAAUUUUUUUUAACUAAGGUAAUAAUAGUUUCAAUCUCGAAACCUAAAGAAAAUUGACGGUUUUAUAACACACUAGGGGAACUUGUUUAUUAAUCGAUGCUCCACGUUUAACCUCACCUAAUUUAGUUUUCCAGCAUAUAUACCGCUGUCGUCAGAUUUAUUUAAAAGAAAAUAUCUAAUAACGAAUAUUAAAAACCUUAGAUGUCAAGCCAUGGUAUAGCUAAUAAUUAGGAAUAAAUGAGUUACAAUAAUAAAAUAUUAAUACGAAUUAUAUUUUAAUAAAAUAUAGGAAGGAGGACUUAGCUGUAAUUUUUAAAAAUAAUUAGAAAUGAAGAAGCAAUUUAAAAUGUACAUACCGCCCGUCACCCUUACAAUAAUUUAAGGUAAGUCGUAACAAGGUAACCCCGCCGGAAGGGGGGGUUAGAAAA